Mus musculus (house mouse) is the source of this 1798-nucleotide long non-coding RNA. RefSeq annotates it as predicted gene, 36365. The transcript is spliced from 3 exons. The record is from RefSeq and is a predicted model, not a curated record. NCBI's taxonomy places the organism in Eukaryota, Metazoa, Chordata, Mammalia, Rodentia, Muridae.
AGAUCUGCCGAGGCACAGAGGGGAGAGGAAGUCAGAGGGGAAGUGAGGGGUCCGGAGUGGCAGGGCUAAUGACACCCAAACUCUGCUGACUCCACUGUCUUUCUCUAGCUAUUCCAGGCACAGAUGUACCCUCCACAACCAGGAAGGACAGACAGUUCAUUUGCCCUUGAACUUAGUAAUCACUCAAAGCACUCAAUGAGUAGGAAUUGAUUCGAUCCUGGACUGAGUUACACAUAGAAACUGACUCUCCCUGAUAGUGUCAAUUCUAGUUAUAGUGGGAGCUAGGUGAAGUUGAAAAGUUGGUCAGAUGGUGUUUUGCUGGGGAAAACACUUGAAGGAGCGUUUCGUUAAUGUGGACACAGAUGUGAAAGGUUAAGGCAGACACGUGAAGAAACAUUUUGAUGGAGCAGACACAGGAGAGGAUGUUCUGCUAAAGCAAGCACAUGUAAGAACAUGUGAUGAAAGAUUCUUUGCUACGUGAAUGUAUUAGUCUGCCUUACAUUGCAUAGUUGAGCUGCAUUUGUCGGGACUCCAUAGAGAGAGAGAAACGCACCAACAAUUUUCUGGUGGUGUGCUGCAGUUUGUUGCCAUUUCCAAGGACUCGGGCUGACUGGAUACAGGUGCUGAGGCAAGACACAGGGAGGAUACGUGAUAUUUGGAGGCAACACAUGUGGAGGACACAUGAUAUUUGGAGGGGAUAAACAGGACUCCACAGAAUGACAAAGGCUGAGCUAGGCUUGCUUUUAGAGCUAGCUGUGCAACGCUUGUGGAUCUCUCAUCUUCGCUGAUCUUCACUUCCCUGAGAGAGGCACAGCUGAGUAUUUCUGGAGUUCCUGCCGACUUGAGCCAAGGUUGAAGCCUGGCUGUCUCUCCUAGGUUGUGCCACCGCAGUUGCUAUCCCGACUCUACCAAACUGGACUGCUGGUGUAUCCGUGAAGUGUUUGAGAGUGGAUGGAGCUGCUGCUGCUGCCUGCUAACCUGUGAACUGAACUGCUGAUUUCCAGACAACUGCUGAUUUUCCAGAUAAGGGAAUGAGAAUAAGCCUGGAGCUCCUUGCAAGCAGGCAGAGUUGCUCUGAUGAAGCUGGCAGCUGCGUUUGCUCAGGGGUCUGAGCCCUACAACAAUCUCCAAUUGUUUGACCUACAUGUCUAUCUGUGCACCGCCCGCACUGAGUGCCGACACCGACAGAAGCCAGCAGAGGAUGUCCGUUACCCUGGACUGGAGUUACAGUUGUGAGCUGCCAUGUAGGUGCUAGAAAUGGAACCCUAAGUCCUCUGCAAGAGCAGUCACUGCUUUCUACUGAGCCAAUUCUCCAGCUCCCUAUUCAUCAAACGUUUACCAAGCACCUAGUCCUUAUGUAUUGGACACAGAGUCAGUUUUGGGGGAGAGUGCUGUGACCUCUUCCCUUGGGGAGCUCCAACCUAUAAGGAAAUACUAUUAUUGUAUUUCCCUAUUAUUUUAUUGUUUUUUAAAAUGUGCAUGUAUCUGUAUAUUCCACAUAUGUGCGGGUGCAGGUGUGUAUGUUUCUGUGUGUACAUGUCACAUGUGUGCAGGUGCCCGUGAAGUUCAGAACAGGGCAUUAGAUCUCUAGAGCUGAAUACGGCAGCUGUGAGCCACCCGAUGUGGGUGCGAGGAACAGAGCUCUGAUGUAAUGCAAGAACCAUAAGCGCUUCCCGCUGAUCACUAUCUCCAGCUUUGUUGUGUUUAUUGUACAGAAAAGAGGUGCAGUGUUGAAAGGUCUUUGAAAGCUAUGGAGUGCUGUGAAAUAUAAUAAACAAUGUGUCUUACGCUUAUCUAA